Molecule: ribosomal RNA, 398 nt
Filed under: Callomyia amoena
Lineage: Eukaryota; Metazoa; Arthropoda; Insecta; Diptera; Platypezidae
Description: partial 12S ribosomal RNA
Source: RNAcentral
CUGGGAUUAGAUACCCUGUUAUUUAAAAUGUAAUUAUAAAUAUACUUGAGUAGUAAUAGUUAUGUUCUUUAAACUUAAAAAAUUUGGCGGUAUUUUAGUCUAUUCAGAGGAACUUGUUUUAUAAUCGAUAAUCCACGAUGUACCUUACUUAAUGUUAUUAAUUAGUUUGUAUACCGUCGUUAUUGAAAAUUUUAUAAGAAUAAUAAUUUUCAAUUAUUUUUAUUAAAAUUAAUGUCAGAUCAAGGUGCAGCUUAUGAUUAAGCAAUAAUGAGUUACAAUAAAUUUUAUUUAUGUGGAUAUAAAUAUGAAAAAAUUAUUGAAAUUGGAUUUGAUAGUAAAAUUAAAUAGAUUAUUAAUUUGAUUUUAGCUCUAAAAUAUGCACAAAUCGCCCGUCACUC